CGACGUGAGGAACCUGCCUUCAAGAGGGGGACAACAGUUGGAAACGACUGCUAAUACCGCAUGACACAUAGAGAUCGCAUGGUUUUUAUGUCAAAGAUUUAUCGCUGAAAGAUGGCCUCGCGUCUGAUUAGCUAGUUGGUGAGGUAACGGCCCACCAAGGCGACGAUCAGUAGCCGGACUGAGAGGUUGACCGGCCACAUUGGGACUGAGAUACGGCCCAG
Molecule: ribosomal RNA, 221 nt
Filed under: uncultured bacterium
Lineage: Bacteria
Description: partial 16S ribosomal RNA
Rfam family: Bacterial small subunit ribosomal RNA
Source: RNAcentral